GCGCAGCCGGCGUGGGGCGGCCGUCGGCAGGAGGGGGGUGACUCGCCGAUAAGAAGAGAGUCAAACCGGUGGUCGGCGGUGACCACCGGCGCCGGUAAUCAAAGGAAAAACGGUCAAAAAUGAAAGUUACUUCCGCAACAAAAUCCGACAACUCCGGUCGCCGGCGAGCAUGCACAUCGGCACGGGAAGGAAGUGGGAGA
This 200-nucleotide long non-coding RNA is filed under the name Elaeis guineensis (African oil palm). RNAcentral's name for it is "long non-coding RNA (EGUI_LNC054985)". Lineage: Eukaryota; Viridiplantae; Streptophyta; Magnoliopsida; Arecales; Arecaceae. The record is from RNAcentral.